This 243-nucleotide ribosomal RNA is filed under the name uncultured bacterium. RNAcentral's name for it is "partial 16S ribosomal RNA". It matches the Rfam family "Bacterial small subunit ribosomal RNA", at positions 63 to 334 of the family's 1533-position model. The record is from RNAcentral.
CGAACGAAGCCUUCGGGCUUAGUGGCGGACGGGUGAGUAACGCGUGGGAAUAUGCCUUUCGGUGCGGAAUAGCCUUGGGAAACUGAGAGUAAUACCGCAUACGCCCUACGGGGGAAAGAUUUAUCGCCGAAAGAUUAGCCCGCGUUGGAUUAGGUAGUUGGUGGGGUAGUGGCCUACCAAGCCGACGAUCCAUAGCUGGUUUGAGAGGAUGAUCAGCCACACUGGGACUGAGACACGGCCCAG